RNAcentral lists this ribosomal RNA (1247 nucleotides) under metagenome. RNAcentral's name for it is "bacterial LSU rRNA". It matches the Rfam family "Bacterial large subunit ribosomal RNA", at positions 1698 to 2925 of the family's 2925-position model. The record is from RNAcentral.
CUUGUGGUUAAGGAACUCGGCAAAUUGCCCCCGUAACUUCGGGAGAAGGGGGGCCUCCGCUGGUGAUCAGACUUGCUUUGUGAGCUGGUGGGGGUCGCAGAGGCCAGGGGGAAGCGACUGUUUACUAAAAACACAGGUCCGUGCGAAGUCGUAAGACGAUGUAUACGGACUGACGCCUGCCCGGUGCUGGAACGUUAAGGGGACCGGUUAGCGCAUUUCGGUGUGCGAGGCUGAGAACUUAAGCGCCAGUAAACGGCGGUGGUAACUAUAACCAUCCUAAGGUAGCGAAAUUCCUUGUCGGGUAAGUUCCGACCUGCACGAAUGGCGUAACGACUUCCCCGCUGUCUCAACCGCAGACCCGGCGAAAUUGCACUACGAGUAAAGAUGCUCGUUACGCGCAGCAGGACGGAAAGACCCCGGGACCUUCACUACAGCUUGACAUUGGCGUUUGGAACUCUUGUGUAGGAUAGGUGGGAGACUGUGAAGCUGUCACGCUAGUGGCGGUGGAGUCAUUGGUGAAAUACCACUCUGGUCGUUUUGAACGUCUAACUUCGGUCCGUGAUCCGGAUCAGGGACAGUGUCUGGUGGGUAGUUUAACUGGGGCGGUUGCCUCCUAAAGAGUAACGGAGGCGCCCAAAGGUUCCCUCAGCCUGGUUGGUAAUCAGGUGUCGAGUGUAAGUGCACAAGGGAGCUUGACUGUGAGACCGACGGGUCGAGCAGGAGCGAAAGCUGGGACUAGUGAUCCGGCGGUGGCAUGUGGAAGCGCCGUCGCUCAACGGCUAAAAGGUACCCCGGGGAUAACAGGCUGAUCUUCCCCAAGAGUCCAUAUCGACGGGAUGGUUUGGCACCUCGAUGUCGGCUCGUCGCAUCCUGGGGCUGGAGUAGGUCCCAAGGGUUGGGCUGUUCGCCCAUUAAAGCGGUACGCGAGCUGGGUUUAGAACGUCGCGAGACAGUUCGGUCCCUAUCCGCUGCGCGCGCAGGAGACUUGAAAGGAGCUGUCCCUAGUACGAGAGGACCGGGACGGACGAACCUCUGGUGUGCCAGUUGUUCCGCCAGGAGCAUGGCUGGUUGGCUACGUUCGGAAGGGAUAACCGCUGAAAGCAUCUAAGCGGGAAGCUCGCCUUGAGAUGAGGUCUCCCACCACGAAAGUGGGUAAGGCCCCCGGGAGACGACCGGGUUGAUAGGCCGGAGGUGGAAGCAUGGUAACGUGUGGAGCUGACCGGUACUAAUAGGCCGAGGACUUGACC